Molecule: long non-coding RNA, 377 nt
Organism: Mauremys mutica (yellowpond turtle)
Lineage: Eukaryota; Metazoa; Chordata; Testudines; Geoemydidae
Exons: 3
Source: RefSeq, a predicted model, not a curated record
ACUCCACUGAGCUAUGAGGAGAGUGGAAUAUAUAAUAAGGCACCCACACACAUUUUCUUGGACUGUGGGGAAAAAUGGAAAAUAUGUCCCUUGGGCGAGUGCUUAGAGAAUGUGAUGGAAGGGCAGCAGAGAUCAGAGAGCAGUAUCUAAAGUAAAAGGCUGUUGCAGAUUACAUUCCCCUGGAGCAUGCAGGAAACUACGGACUGAGUCAUGACUGAGUCACAAUUCAGUCUGUGGUCAGCUUGUGGGCAGUGUACAUGGGCCUCUUCCCCAGGACUCUUGUUUAUAGUUGCUUGCUGCUGCGAAUGAUAGAGGUAUCAUCACAUGGAGAGUUUCGAGAACGCUAGCAAUCCCACCAGUUGCCUUUAUAAUUUCCC